This 337-nucleotide long non-coding RNA is filed under the name Rosa chinensis. Its description in RNAcentral is "sRNA RchiOBHm_Chr3g0485121". Lineage: Eukaryota; Viridiplantae; Streptophyta; Magnoliopsida; Rosales; Rosaceae. The record is from RNAcentral.
GUGGUUUGGAAAAAAUCAAUUGGAUCCUAGCUGUGGAAAAGUUGUGGUAUCACAAUUGCAUAUGGCUUGGCCGAUUCUCUUAGCAAGGUUUGAUGGAAGACUUGUUGAUGGUCGCAAAAUAACUGCUCAGUUUGCAAAAUUUUAGUGAAUCUAAACAAAAAUAUAGAUUAAAGAGAUAAUGAACUUGAUAUGUGGCUCCAAUGGCCUUUCUUAACUUGGAUUUUAUUUUUUUGGCUCCAAUGGCCUUGAUUUCUAGUUUCCAUUGUAAUUCGCUGUAAAUAGAAAGAAUGAACUUGAUAAGUGGCUCACAGCCUCACUUCUACUAAAGAUCUAUAAU